CGUAAACAAAGGGAAGCGAAGUGGUGACAUGGAGCAAAUCCCAAAAAUAACGUCCCAGUUCGGAUUGUAGUCUGCAACCCGACUACAUGAAGCCGGAAUCGCUAGUAAUCGCGGAUCAGAAUGCCGCGGUGAAUACGUUCCCGGGUCUUGUACACACCGCCCGUCACACCAUGGGAGUUGGGAAUGCCCGAAGCCGGUGACCUAACCGAAAGGGAGGAGCCGUCGAAGGCAGGCUUGAUAACUGGGGUGAAGUCGUAACAAGGUAUC
RNAcentral lists this ribosomal RNA (267 nucleotides) under uncultured bacterium. Its description in RNAcentral is "partial 16S ribosomal RNA". It matches the Rfam family "Bacterial small subunit ribosomal RNA", at positions 1234 to 1500 of the family's 1533-position model. The record is from RNAcentral.